This 247-nucleotide ribosomal RNA is filed under the name uncultured bacterium. RNAcentral describes it as "partial 16S ribosomal RNA". It matches the Rfam family "Bacterial small subunit ribosomal RNA", at positions 523 to 769 of the family's 1533-position model. The record is from RNAcentral.
AUACGGAGGAUGCAAGCGUUAUCCGGAUUCAUUGGGUUUAAAGGGUGCGCAGGCGGAAUGAUAAGUCAGUGGUGAAAUCUCCCGGCUCAACCGGGAAACUGCCAUUGAUACUGUUGUUCUUGAGUACACUUGGAGUGGGCGGAAUGUGUCAUGUAGCGGUGAAAUGCUUAGAUAUGACACAGAACACCGAUCGCGAAGGCAGCUCACUAAAUUGUAACUGACGCUCAUGCACGAAAGCGUGGGGAUC